GGGGAUGUCGGGUUUCGACAGGUGGUCAGAUUGUAGGAUUGCAGGUCGAGGUGUCGGUAUAGCACUUCUCGUUAAACAACCGACAAAACAAUAACUGCCAAAACAACGCAGUAUAAACCCGCUCUCGCACUCGCUGCCUAAUUAGUAGUGAGUGUAUCGCUACCUAAACAGUAGCGAAGCGGCGUUCGCCCGGCUUUUACUCGUGGAGCCGGGUACGAGCGACAGAAACACGAGUUGCUCUGGCAAUCACCGUCCUCUAGUUGCCAGCUAAGACCAGAGGGCCGCGCGCAACGGAAUCCUGUCGGUGGGAGUCCGGGGCGUUUAAGCCAAACCAUCGACUAAACCUGUAGUACAUUCUACGAUAAGGCUGUUUGGACAGGGAGUUCAACUCUCCCUCAUCUCCACCA
This 407-nucleotide transfer-messenger RNA is filed under the name Ktedonobacteraceae. RNAcentral describes it as "Bu33 sp017354095 Standard tmRNA". It matches the Rfam family "transfer-messenger RNA". Rfam says of the family: Bacterial tmRNA, also known as 10Sa RNA or SsrA, is named for its dual tRNA and mRNA-like properties. Its role is to liberate the mRNA from a stalled ribosome. Lineage: Bacteria; Bacillati; Chloroflexota; Ktedonobacteria; Ktedonobacterales. RNAcentral also lists the same sequence under 1 other name. The record is from RNAcentral.